UGGUCAUGGAAGUCGAAAUCCGCUAAGGAGUGUGUAACAACUCACCUGCCGAAUGGAAUAGCCCUGAAAAUGGAUGGCGCUAAAGUGAUUCACCUAAAUCUCACCAUAAUAUCAAAUCGUACAUUAUGGAAUGUAUACUAAUAGGAUAUUAUGUGUAGGGGAGCGUGGUGUUCUUUGUCAAUAUUCUAUCGUGAGAUAGAUAGGAAAGGAUACUAGUGCAGAUCUUGGUGGUAGUAGCAAUGAUUCAAAUGUGAUCUUUGAAGACUGACGUGGAGAAAGGUUCCAUGGGAAACGUCUUGUUCCAUGGGUUAGUCGAUCCUAAGUUGGUACCGAAAGGUUGUACAUGAUAGGUGUGUUAGCUUUGUUAUUGUGCGCAGUAGCGAAUGAAUCAUACCAUCUCCAACGAAAGGGAAAUAGGUUCAUAUUCCUAUACCCAUACGAUGCAAAUAGAUAAACAUUGGUAACAAAAGGAACAUCCGAGACAUUCGUUUGUAAUCUCUGAAGAAAUUUCUCUUCUUUUUAACAGUUUAUGUGGUAGGCAUACUACAUUCUUUCUAUGUGUAACAACAUAGAAAUGGUAACACCAUGGAAGCGUAUUGUACGGAGAUAUGGUUGUACAACUGGGAAAGGUGAUACUUUAUGUAUUUUUACUAUGUAAAAUAAGUAAAAUCACUAGAGAACUUACAAAAGGAUCCUUGAAAAUCGGAUAGACUGCUUAUGCGUUGUCAUCGUGGUUCGUACUCAUAACCGCAUCAGGUCUCCAAGGUGAAUAGCCUCUAGUCUAUAGAAUAAUGUAGGUAAGGGAAGUCGGCAAAAUAGAUCCGUAACUUUGGGAAAAGGAUUGGCUCAAUGGGAUGCUCUAAUCUCGUAUUAGAACAACAUCCACCAUUGAACUGAAACGGACAAGAGGAAUCCGACUGUUUAAUUAAAACAAAGCAUUGCGAUGGUUCGCAACGAAUGUUUACGCAAUGUGAUUUCUGCCCAGUGCUUUGAAUAUCAAUGUGGAGAAAUUCAAGUAAGUAGUGGUCAACGGCGGGAGUAACUAUGACUCUCUUAAGGUAGCCAAAUGCCUCGUCGUCUAAUUAGCGACGCGCAUGAAUGGAUUAAUGAGAUUCCUACUGUCCCUAUCUACGAUCUAGCGAAACCACAGCCAAGGGAACGGGCUUGGAAAUUUCAGCGGGGAAAGAAGACCCUCUUGAGCUUGACUCUAGUCUGACUUGGUGAAUUGACUCGAUUGGUGUAGCAUAUGUGGGAGUACGCAAGUACAAUAGUGAAAUACCACAACUUUCGACGUUAAUUUGCUCAUCUAUUUAGUAUCUCACAUCUUAUUGAAGUAUUUUAGAGACUCAUAGAAACAAAGUCAGGUGGGGAGUUUGACUGGGGCGGUACAUCUGUUAAACGAUAACACAGGUGUCCUAAGAUGAGCUCAACGAGAGCAGAAAUCUCGUGUAGAACAAAAGGGUAAAAGCUCAUUUAAUUGUUGAUUUUCAGUACGAAUACAAAUAAUGAAAGUUUGGCCUAUCGAUCCUUUAGUUGCAUAAUCUUAUAAAGCAUGUUUAUCUAGAGGUGUCAGAAAAGUUACCAAAGGGAUAACUGGCUUGUGGCAGCCAAGAGUUCAUAUCGACGUUGCUUUUUGAUUCUUCGAUGUCGGCUCUUCCUAU
Molecule: ribosomal RNA, 1661 nt
Filed under: bioreactor sludge metagenome
Description: eukaryotic LSU rRNA
Rfam family: Eukaryotic large subunit ribosomal RNA
Source: RNAcentral